Long non-coding RNA from Macaca fascicularis (crab-eating macaque), 2028 nucleotides. The record is from Ensembl. NCBI's taxonomy places the organism in Eukaryota, Metazoa, Chordata, Mammalia, Primates, Cercopithecidae.
ACUUGGCCUCACCUGAAACAUUCGUCUUCACUGCUUUAAGGAACUUGCCCUUCCCUCCUAAGAGCGCCAAGUCACAAGACAUUUCUAGACCCUGUUCAAGAAAGAAAGCAAGAACAUUAAACAUAUAGCUUUGAUUUCAGAAAACCUGCAUUUCAACACUGAUUUACCAUCUUUCAUCACUCUAUUAUCAUGGGUUACUCACAUAAUUUUUCUGAGCCUCAAUUUUUUGUUGUUGUUCUUCCAAAGAAAAAUGUAUUGAAGCAAAUUUCCCAUGUUGUUUUGUUUUCCUAGGUGAAUAAUAAUUAAACAAGGUAUUAUGCCUGAAAGUGCUAGGAAAUUGUAAAGAGCUAUGUAAACACUAUUACCAAAGAAGAACAAGAGUGUGACAUUUUAGGUGGGCUGAAGUGGCACAGACAGUUGAAGGCCAGGAGCAGUCUCAGUCCCCAGCUUUUCAAUUAGAGCCUUGAGCUAAGAGGUGGAUUGGGGCUUGCUUUCCUUCCCCUCUCUUAGUUACCCUUAACAGGAGCUGUUAAUAGAGGAGCAGGCCCUGAGGAAGCUCUUAGGAGGCUCACCUUGGACACUCAGUCCCAGCAGCACUCAUACGCAGUCUGGUGGGAGGGCAAUGACUAAUGCAGACAUCAGAGCCAAGAAACUGAAAGAAAUGUGCCUCUUGUCAUCUAGAGAUGUGUUUUCCAAACCACACUUUCCACGGAACAUUGGAGAUUGGCUAAAAUAUCAUUUCUUUUGCUGGUUCAGGCCAGCCCAUUCUAAGAGGGUCAUUUUCCCUCAACGCCCCCCUCCUCAAACUUCCAGUUGUCCUUGCUCCACUUCCUGUGUGUGCCCCUUCGACAGACCCUUCAGGGACUGCCUUUAAGGAGAAUCCCCUUGAGGUUACUCACAGCACUCUGUGCACCAGAGACAUGAGCAAGGAAUGAAGGUCUGUCUAAUCAACAAUGAAACGAAAUCAAGGGAGGGAGAAGAAAGAUUAUGACCAGGGCUCUGAGCCAGUCCAGCCCAGGUGGGGCUGUGGGGUGGAAGAAAAUUUGUUGACUUCAGUCUCAAAAACAGGGAAAAGAGAAAAUGCAACCGUACUUGUGCUAUCAAGACGCUUCUCAUCUUAGCUGAAAUGCAAUUCAAGUCAAUUCAACAGACAUUUAUUAAGCCCCUACUGAGGGCACAGCUAAAGUAAGAUGCAUGGAACCUUAUGGAGCUCCCAUUCUACCCUGGAGAUAAGUGCUUAAGCAAAUGAAAUGUGCUUCGUUGUGCUUGGUGCUAUGAUAAAGGGGGCACAGAGGACAGGAUAUCCACUCCCUCAUGAAAUCAGCCCAUUCCCUUUUGAAUACGUCUUAUAAUUAGGAAGUGUCUUUUCUCUGUUCCUUCUCCCUCUACCCUCCUAGCCCUUCCUUCCUCUCCUCCUCCUUCUGUUUUUCUAUUUCCCUUUUCUCUUCUUCUUUCUGCCCUGUCCCUGUUUUCCUCUUCCCUCCCAGGUCCCACCAGCUCUGAGAACCUGAGGUCCUGCUCCCUACCCUCUCUGCCCCAUCUAUGCGAUGUGGGCAAAGAAGGGAAGUGAGGCCAGACAAGCCCUCUUAAAGGAGGCCAGAAGAAGGAAGAAUUCCAGGCAGAGGGAAAAGCAUAAAUUGAGAAGUGUGGCCUUUCCCAAAAGGCUUGGGGAAGUAUGAUUUACUUACUCAUUUCUUGUCCCUCCCAUAAUCUCUCUCUUCCCCUUAACCUAAGUCAUGAGGCUGAAAAAUCUUCUCCUGAAUCUUGAAGCCCAUUCAGCCUCAAAAAAUUAGCUGCUCUAAGGAAUGGUAGUGUGGUAGGUAAAAUAAUGGCCACCCAGAGAUAGCAAGUCCUAACCAGGGUGUUUGGAGAUGUAAUGAAAUUAAGGAUCUUAGGCCAGGUGUGGUGGCUCACACUUGUAAUCCCAGAACUUUGGGAGGCUGAGGCGGGUGGAUCACCUGAGGCCAGAAGUUCGAGACCUGCCUAGUCAACAUGACAAAACCCGGUCUCUGCUAAAAUAAAAAAAAA